Molecule: ribosomal RNA, 613 nt
Filed under: Saccharomyces cerevisiae (brewer's yeast)
Lineage: Eukaryota; Fungi; Ascomycota; Saccharomycetes; Saccharomycetales; Saccharomycetaceae
Description: eukaryotic LSU rRNA
Rfam family: Eukaryotic large subunit ribosomal RNA
Source: RNAcentral
CCAACCGGGAUUGCCUUAGUAACGGCGAGUGAAGCGGCAAAAGCUCAAAUUUGAAAUCUGGUACCUUCGGUGCCCGAGUUGUAAUUUGGAGAGGGCAACUUUGGGGCCGUUCCUUGUCUAUGUUCCUUGGAACAGGACGUCAUAGAGGGUGAGAAUCCCGUGUGGCGAGGAGUGCGGUUCUUUGUAAAGUGCCUUCGAAGAGUCGAGUUGUUUGGGAAUGCAGCUCUAAGUGGGUGGUAAAUUCCAUCUAAAGCUAAAUAUUGGCGAGAGACCGAUAGCGAACAAGUACAGUGAUGGAAAGAUGAAAAGAACUUUGAAAAGAGAGUGAAAAAGUACGUGAAAUUGUUGAAAGGGAAGGGCAUUUGAUCAGACAUGGUGUUUUGUGCCCUCUGCUCCUUGUGGGUAGGGGAAUCUCGCAUUUCACUGGGCCAGCAUCAGUUUUGGUGGCAGGAUAAAUCCAUAGGAAUGUAGCUUGCCUCGGUAAGUAUUAUAGCCUGUGGGAAUACUGCCAGCUGGGACUGAGGACUGCGACGUAAGUCAAGGAUGCUGGCAUAAUGGUUAUAUGCCGCCCGUCUUGAAACACGGACCUCCUGUGUGAGGGGAUCCCCCUAAA